Molecule: ribosomal RNA, 497 nt
Filed under: uncultured bacterium
Lineage: Bacteria
Description: partial 16S ribosomal RNA
Rfam family: Bacterial small subunit ribosomal RNA
Source: RNAcentral
GAUGAACGCUGGCGGCGUGCCUAAUACAUGCAAGUCGAGCGAACAGACGAGGAGCUUGCUCCUCUGACGUUAGCGGCGGACGGGUGAGUAACACGCGGAUAACCUACCUAUAAGACUGGGAUAACUUCGGGAAACCGGAGCUAAUACCGGAUAAUAUAUUGAACCGCAUGGUUCAAUAGUGAAAGACGGUUUUGCUGUCACUUAUAGAUGGAUCCGCGCCGCAUUAGCUAGUUGGUAAGGUAACGGCUUACCAAGGCAACGAUGCGUAGCCGACCUGAGAGGGUGAUCGGCCACACUGGAACUGAGACAGGGUCCAGACUCCUACGGGAGGCAGCAGUAGGGAAUCUUCCGCAAUGGGCGAAAGCCUGACGGAGCAACGCCGCGUGAGUGAUGAAGGUCUUCGGAUCGUAAAACUCUGUUAUUAGGGAAGAACAAAUGUGUAAGUAACUAUGCACGUCUUGACGGUACCUAAUCAGAAAGCCACGGCUAACUACGUG